This 6155-nucleotide long non-coding RNA is filed under the name Sus scrofa (pig). RNAcentral's name for it is "lncRNA (ENSSSCG00055015306.1)". Lineage: Eukaryota; Metazoa; Chordata; Mammalia; Artiodactyla; Suidae. The record is from RNAcentral.
GAGCGGUGUGCUGGGGGGGGGCAGCCCUGGCAGCCCUGGGCCUGGAGGGUCCGGGGACCAGCCAGGCUGGCCUCUCAGAGUGAGGAGGGGAGGCCCGGAGGCCAGGUGGGCCAGGGAGGAGGUGGGGCCCGGAGUCGAAUCGGGGAGGCGUCUUGGGGUCUGCUGGGCAGGGGGCCUUCUCCUGCACCUCCCCAGGCUCCUCGCUCCUCUCCUCCACAUCUCCACUUUUCAUGCCUCUCCCCCUAGGAUGCCAAAUUUGGCUCACGCAAUCUGUCGUCUCUCUUCUGAGAUUGGCACCGGGACCAAAGCCGAGCGCAUUACAUCACCGCCGCUCCCCCUGCACGAGGAGAGAAGGAGAGGGAGGGACAGAGGGCUGGGGGCAAGCGGCCAACCCUCAACUUUCUUUCCUGUCUUCCUGCUCACUCUUCUCCCUCCGUCCCGGGUAUCAGGGGCUCCUGGGAGCAGCCAGGCAGGGCCGAGAGGCCGUUGAGAGCUCUAAUCUUGGAGAUCUCCGGGCAGGGCAGGAGGUCAGACUGUGUUUCUGUCCCCUUGGCGAGGUGAGGCCCGGGAGGCAGGGAGCCUGAGUUCAGGACCCCAGUCUGCGGUGGCUUGGCUCUGUGACCUUGGGCAGCCCCCCCAGCCCCCACCCUGUGCAGAGUCUACAGCUGUAUCCAGAACGGUUGGCCAUUCAAGAUCUCGGUGACUCUCCUGAGAAAAGAUGCCCUUGAGUCCUGCUGCUCUCCUGGGCACAGAGAAGGAGUCCUGAAUUGCGAAUAGCUCUCUGUGGCCUUGAACAAGUGACUUUCCCUGUUUCUACCUCCAUCUCCUCACCUGUAAAAUGGGGAUGAUAGAACCCUCAAAAGCAAGAAACGGGAGAGAGGUACUGGACGCAAAAGAGGGGUUCAGGGGGAAGAGACAGAGUCUCUGGCCUGAAACCAGACACUCGGGAGCCCCAUGGGUCCCAGCAUGCUGGGCUGGAGGUGAGGGGCCAGCCAUCCCAGCCGCUGGCAGGACGGGGUGUCGAUUCAAACCAGAUUUGUCGCUAAACUGCUGGUCUGAGGCCCAGAGUUUACAGACGUGGAAACUGAGACCCAGAAAGGGAAGUGGAUCCUCCACCCCCACCGCUAAGGUCACAGUGAUGAUCUGAGGGUGGAGGAAGCAGAGCUGGGUCCUAAACCCAGGCCUCCGGGAUCCCAGCCCUGCCUGGAAGUAGACAGAGACACAGGCAGAUACACACCCCCUGCGGAGGAUGCGGCCAGCCCGGCCAAGACCCGGAGUUUUGAGGGCCCAGUGCGCCCUUUGGCUCCCUCCCUUCUCCCUUCCUGCCCCCCGGCUGCCCCGUCUCCACCAUCCCUGGCCGUUCAUUCCACCCCUCAUUUGGUCUAUUUGAAGCGCUCCCUUUCAGGCUCAUUUGAAAGCCAGUUUCAGGCAGUCCCAGUCAGAGACAGGCUGGAGUUGGGGUUCAGAUGGAAGAUGAUCGCCCCUUCUAGAAGCUUCCCAGAACUGGAGGUAGAGAAAGACGGGGAGCAUCUGUCGGAUGUUUUAUGAAAGAGUGAGCUCCUCCUGCCCAGAGCUCUUCAAGUAGAACCAGUUGAGUACCUGCCAGGGAGCCUGACCGGGUGACUCCCGCUUCAUGGGUGAGAUUGAGUGACAUUCCCACCUCCCAGAUCUCGAGAGUCUGUGAUGUCUGGAGAGGAGCCGGGAGGCAGCCCCGGCACUUACUGGCUUCCCAGCAAGGAGGCUCACUCUGAUUCUCCGAGGCUGUCCCUGGGACUUCCUUGAGGAAGGAGUGGAAACGUCCCUCCCCUGGGCUGGGGCUUUGGCAGGAGAUGAUGUGUCGCCCCCACAGCGUGACACCCCCUCAGAGAUCCUCCAGGGGCUCCAUUCUGAAGACAUAGGAAUAGACAUGCGCCCAAGAGGAAAACGCAUUUUACAAAUGGGAAGACUGAGGCUCAGAGACAAAGAACGGCCUGCCUGAAGGUGCUGAAAGGGGCUAGAGAGUUAGACUGGGACCAGGGCUCUGUCGCCUUGCCCCCUCGGGGCCUUUGGGCUGAUGGUGGAGUGAGCUUUGGGACAAGGGGUGCAGACUGCUGACCGGUUUGGCAGGUGGCAGGGGAGUGCUGGCUCGAGGCUAGGGCCGUGGGUGGGGGAGUCAGCCUUGGGAACCAGGAAAAGGGAACAGGAAGAGGAACCAGCAGGGACAGCAGGUCCACCUCUGUCCUCCCUGGUCCUGCCCCAGGGCCACCCACAGUUGUCACUCUCCUGUGAGGCCGGAGGAAACUGUAGGUGGGACCUAUUUGGCAAAGAGAGGGUCUUGGAGCCAGCAGCCUUGGGCGUGGCUCCCUCUGUGACCUUGGGUCCGUUCAUCACCCUCUCUGAGCGUGGUUUGCCCAUCUGCGUGCCCAAGAAUCUGUACUAAAUCUUCUGUUCCCACGGAGUAGCUGCGGUUGCGCUGUCGUCUCAAGUGCUCCUCCCGUUCCCAGGAGGACCCUGGGCCCUGGGCGAGGGGCGGGCACGAAUCCUGGGGGUUGGCAUAACCUUUAAGCCUCCUCGGCGACUCAGCCCUCCUUGGGGUGCGGGGAGAUCUCUGAGCAGAGCCCUUCUUCUCCUUUUCAUCUUGAUUUUUCUCCUGCUCCCUCUGCGCCUCGCUACGUGGGCUGAUCGCUGCUCAAACUUUUAAUUCAGAUGGUAAUUGAAAUAAUAAUAUGGGCUGAGGCCCCUCUGCUUGUGACGCUGCAGCUGGUGGAGCUCAGCUAUGAAUAGACCUUGAGUCACACACGAGCGCGCGCUCCUGCAGGCGCGCACCCGGGGCUGACGGGGUGGUGGGUGGGGUGCAGCCAGAGGGGCAGGGGAGCUCACGCUCCAGCCUGCACUGGGUCUCGCCCCCACCCCUAUGCUCGAAGGCCUGGGCCGGCUCUGCCCCUGCAGCCGCCAUCUGGUCCCUGUGUCACACCUGACUCGGGGCAUCAGUGGUUCACUCGGCUCACAGAAGGGGAAACUGAGGUUCAGUGGAGGAGAGGCGCUGGCUCAACACAAAUAGACUCAAUUUGAACUGAUGGAUCUGGUCCUAAGAUCAUUGUUCCUUUUCAGGACACACAGGCCGGACAAGUGGGUGGAGGAAAGCUGGCUCGCCUGGGCAUCCUCCUGCCUCACCUCCUCCCAGCACACACCCCCUCGAACUCACACACGCUCUGGCUCACUAUCACACACACUUUCUCUCAUGUGCUCACACUCAUACACUCAUACAUGCAAGCUGCUUAGAUGGAUGGUGCUAUUGCUUGCAGAGGGGCAAAGGUUUUCCCAGGGGUCCAGCUGCAGGAAGGGGACAAGGCCCCCAUGCGCCAGGCUCUGUGCUGGGCUUUAUAUUCGUGAUCUUGCUUAGUCCUGUGACAGGCUUCACUCCCACUUUUCGGACCUGAAAACUGAGGCUCAUUGAGAAGCAAGGGUUUGCCCUAGGUCUGACGGGGAGAAAGAGCCAUAUGUCCUUUGUCCUGCUGGGAUGCACCCAGUUCCAGCCAUUCUGGGCCCCUCCGUUUGGCCUUCUGUAAGAGGGAAGGUGCAUCUCAGCAGCCGGGGCUCCCCUUCCUCUCCCUGGCCCCUUCCCCCACUCUGGCCUGCGGCUACCUGGCCAGUGGUUGACCAGCCCUACUGCCAGCAGCCAGAACAUCUGGCCCAUGAACCAGGGGAGGAGAGGUGCCUAAAAGGGGCACUGGCAGGUCAGGGAGAGGGGAUACCUAAGAAAGGUGGUUCUUGGUGGUCUAGACCCCGGCUGGAGCUGUAUAGGGAGUUGAUGUUGUCACGGCAACCUAUCAGCCAGCAGCUUGGGUCUAGGCCUGUUCUAGGUGGGCCCAGUGGGGGACCUCCAGAAGGGCAGAGGGGAGAGGCGGUGGGUCAUGGGUGCAGUUGGGCAGAAACACCCCCAGGCCUUGAACGAAGGAGGAAACUCUCCCCACCUUUACCCUGCAGCCCUGUUCUGCUCCUGUGUCUGCCUUUUCUCCAGCACUCUGCUAGGAGAGGGAACAGCAGAGCCCAGAGACCACGGUGCUUUGCCCAAGAUCACACAGCAAUGGCAACAGAGCUGGGGCUGGACCAGGGCUCCUCCUAAUUCCUCUGCCUUCCCCUCCCAGGGCUGUUGACACCCCCUGUCUCUCUCAGACACUCCCUGUGUCUCUGGAGGAAUGGGCUGAUCUUGGCCGCUCUUUCCUGGGAAAACCUCAGGUUGGAGAGAGGGAAGGGCCAGCACCCCCUUGUCACAGCGGGUGCAGCUGAGUGAGGAAGUUUGCCCAAGUCAGUCAGGCCUGCAUCUGGAUCCCACCUUAGCUAUUCACUUAUCCCAAGUGACAUUACACCAGGUCACCCUCCCCCCGGGAACCUCUCUUUGCUCCUCUGUGACACAGGGACAACCUGUGGUGAUGGGGAGGCAGGUGCCUGGCUUUUUCCUUUUGUUACCCCAUCUGUUCUCGGAGCCCUACCCCGCCUAGCUCUACUUGGGCUGCUAGGGUGGACAGGGACCUUAGCUAGGGGGCCCCUAGGGAGAAGGGCGUCCUUGCACUGUGAGGGGCUGAUCCCAUUCUACUGAUGGGGAGAUUGAGGCCUGGGGAGGGGAAUUGGCCCAGCCUGACCUCAGUGGCAGAAUUGGCACCAAGUUUUACCGUCUGGCCUCUGGGACACCCCAGCGAAGUCUCCUCCCCACCCCACCCUACAGCUCCUCUCCAACCCCCUGCCCCAAACAUCCUGUAGGUGCUUCUCUCCCACCGUGGGCCUAAGAAGAAGGGAGAGUGAAGGUGCCACUCAGCCUGAGCGACAGAUGGAAUGGGCCAGCAAUUUGGAAACUCCGUGAAGCCACAGGGGGGAGGUGGCCGGCGCAGAGCUAGAGGGGGCCCUGGCUGUAGGUGAUGUGGACGGGGACAGAAGGGGCUACACUCACUCUGACACAUGGGCACCAGAGCCCCCACACCCUUUGGAGGGGCGAUCACCAUCUCCUGGGAAGCCCACAUAUGUCUCGAGGGUUCUGCUAACUGAUGCACACUUCGGCCUUGGCUCUGCUCUCUGGGGCCCAAGGAAUCUAGCCUGUCCCCCUCCAAGAGGGUGGUCAGCUUUCCCUGGCUUCCCUGAGGCGUCUCGCCCCCAGCCUCCGUCGUCCCAGCUGAGGCCUGUGAAUGGGAAACGGGAGAUCUGGGUUCAAAUCCAGCUCCACCCUGGUGCAGCUGUGUGGCUUUGGGCAGACUUUUCACCUCUGAGCCUCUGCCCCCUGAACCAUAGGGUGGCUUGUACCCCUGCAUCUGAGAGUUAAUGGGAAGGUCUCUUGAGCCUGUUGUUGACAUGAGCUGCUGUGUCCUGACCACCCAGUGGCCACUCUGGGCAGACUUCCAGGUCCCUGGCCAUCACUUUCAGAUACUGCUUCUCUAGCUAUGUUGAGUGUGAGCACCUGACCUCUGCUGAGCCCUCCAGACCCACUUGGGUGGGGGCAGGGCUGGCUGAGCACCAGCGCCAGGCCGUGCAGCUGCAGAUCCUGAGGCCACCUGACCUUGGAAAGAGCCUCUCUCUGGCUGAGCUCCAGGGCCACCCCCCAGACAUGGGGCAGAAGCUGGCACCAGGGACAGGAGGGAACCAAGCAGGGCAGAGAGCAGGCCUGGAGCUGGCUCGGGUCCCUAAGGUGACAGGCCAGGAGACAGAGAGGAGAACAGACAGACAGACAGUCGUGGGGAGGACCUACAGUCACUAGCUGCAUUAAUAGCAUGGCAGAGCCCCGCCUCGCCACACUCUGGGGAACUGCCUGAGGAGGGGGUGAGCGCCGUGUCGUGGGAGAUGUGCAAGCAACCGCUGAAUGGCAUCUGCAGUGGGUUCUAACACAGGGCCGGGGGAAGGGAUUGGACCCCAGAACCCAGAGUCCCUGUUGUUUGGGCCACAGUACAGAGCUCCUGUGACCCUAAGGGCCACGGUUCCAAAUAUCCUCCCAUGACCUUGAACAGCUCUCCCCACAGUUGUGCCCCUCAAAAGCCUGUGAUCCAAGGACAGUCAGUUGCAACUUCAAGAGAAGCCCUAGAUCCCAUCUCAACCUAUUCACAGCUCCUAGGCACCCUAAAGGUAGGUGUUUUUCAAAUGGCGUGCAGGUCCUGACCCAGUAGUGGUUGUGAAACUGAGUUAGGGAGUCC